AUACGUAGGGUGCAAGCGUUGUCCGGAUUUAUUGGGCGUAAAGGGCUCGUAGGCGGUCUGUCACGUCGGAUGUGAAAACUCGGAGCUCAACUCCGGGCCUGCAUCCGAUACGGGCAGACUAGAGUUCGGUAGGGGAGAUUGGAAUUCCUGGUGUAGCGGUGGAAUGCGCAGAUAUCAGGGGGAACACCGAUGGCGAAGGCAGAUCUCUGGGCCGAUACUGACGCUGAGGAGCGAAAGCGUGGGGAGCAAACAGGAUUAGAAACCCCGGUAGUCC
Molecule: ribosomal RNA, 274 nt
Filed under: uncultured bacterium
Lineage: Bacteria
Description: partial 16S ribosomal RNA
Rfam family: Bacterial small subunit ribosomal RNA
Source: RNAcentral